This 492-nucleotide ribosomal RNA is filed under the name uncultured bacterium. RNAcentral's name for it is "partial 16S ribosomal RNA". It matches the Rfam family "Bacterial small subunit ribosomal RNA", at positions 29 to 507 of the family's 1533-position model. The record is from RNAcentral.
AGUGAACGCUGGCGGUAGGCCUAACACAUGCAAGUCGAACGGCAGCACAGUAAGAGCUUGCUCUUACGGGUGGCGAGUGGCGGACGGGUGAGGAAUACAUCGGAAUCUACUUUUUCGUGGGGGAUAACGUAGGGAAACUUACGCUAAUACCGCAUACGACCUACGGGUGAAAGCAGGGGAUCUUCGGACCUUGCGCGAAUGAAUGAGCCGAUGUCGAAUUAGCUAGUUGGCGGGGUAAAGGCCCACCAAGGCGACGAUCCGUAGCUGGUCUGAGAGGAUGAUCAGCCACACUGGAACUGAGACACGGUCCAGACUACUACGGGAGGCAGCAGUCGGGAAUGUUGGACAAUGGGCGCAAGCCUGAUCCAGCCAUACCGCGUGGGUGAAGAAGGCCUUCGGGUUGUAAAGCCCUUUUGUUGGGAAAGAAAAGCAGCAGGUUAAUACCCCGCUGUUCUGACGGUACCCAAAGAAUAAGCACCGGCUAACUUCGUG